AGCUGGAACUUACUCAGUUCCGGCACCUUUCAGGUGGGUGCAGUUGACAUGAUAAGACAAGGAAGAUAUUCAUGAAGUAUCUCAGGAAAAGUGGGCCUAUUUCUGCUCCUAAACAAGACACUCUCCCUUUGUGGACAAAGAAGUUGGAAGAAGGGAGACCAAGAAGAUGAUCCUUUAUUCUGUCCCAUAAUUUUAGGCAGUGGAUUCAGGCGAUUUUUCUUGUUCCAGAUUUCACAAUAAUGACUUUCAUCAUUUUCUACAGCACCUUUUCUGCAUAUUCCGGGCAGUGCUAGGAUCUGGCAUGCAAAUCUUUAUUAAUAGGUUGAUCACAAUGAGGAAUGUAAUAAACGUUGAAAGAUAAAGCUAAACAGGAAUCUGAAUGCAUUGAACACAUGGAAGAUACCAAAUUACCUCUGCAAGAUAUUUGAUCAAUAUUUUCCCCGUGAUAAAAUAUAUUUCAUUCAGGAUUUUACUGUAUCAUCCUGUAGAGCAGAUGUAUUUGUAAUUUAAUUGUCACAAAGAGCCUUUAAUUACAAUACUCAAAAAUGACUUGCGGUUUAUUACAUUUUGUAGCAUUGUUAAGACCUUCUUACAGGCCUCUUCUGUCUUUAUAUGCUUGUCUUAUUUAUGCACACUAUUACGCAUCACUGUUUUCACUCUUUUU
This is a non-coding RNA of Podarcis muralis (Common wall lizard), 664 nucleotides long. Lineage: Eukaryota; Metazoa; Chordata; Lepidosauria; Squamata; Lacertidae. The record is from RefSeq and is a predicted model, not a curated record.